RNAcentral lists this ribosomal RNA (461 nucleotides) under Trachycardium egmontianum. RNAcentral describes it as "partial 16S ribosomal RNA". It matches the Rfam family "Bacterial large subunit ribosomal RNA", at positions 1811 to 2582 of the family's 2925-position model. The record is from RNAcentral. Lineage: Eukaryota; Metazoa; Mollusca; Bivalvia; Cardiida; Cardiidae.
AAACAUCUCCCCCAGAUUGUCUUAUAUAUGAUUGGGGGUAGGCCCUGCCCGGUGAUUAAAUUUUAACGGCGGUGUUAAGCCUUAAAGUAGCGUAGUCAUUCGUCCUUUAAUUGAGGUCUGGUAUGAAUGGGUUGACGUGGAGUGGCUGUCUCGGAAAGAAAGCUGUAAAUUUUCUUUUUAGUGAAAAGUCUAAAAUUUUUUUAAAAGACGAGAAGACCCCGUCGAGCUUGAUUAGCCCCUCUAAUAUUAGGGGGCGUAAAGGUUUGUUGGGGCAAUAGAGGAGAAAGAAAACCUCCUUUCAUUUAGGCAAGGAUCCCCUUAUAGGGAAAAUAGGAAAAAGCUACCGCGGGGAUAACAGCGCAAGGCUGCCUGAUAGGUCAUAUUGAAGGCUGAAUUUGCGACCUCGAUGUUGGAUUAGGGUAUACAACUGGGCGUAGAGGCUUAGUGACGUGGGACUGUUC